UACGAAGGGGGCUAGCGUUGUUCGGAAUUACUGGGCGUAAAGCGCAUGUAGGCGGGUCGUUAAGUCGGGGGUGAAAGCCCAGAGCUCAACUCUGGAACUGCCUUCGAUACUGGCGACCUGGACCCAAGGAGAGGCGAGUGGAAUUGCGAGUGUAGAGGUGAAAUUCGUAGAUAUUCGCAGGAACACCAGUGGCGAAGGCGACUCGCUGGACUUGUGGUGACGCUGAGAUGAGAAAGCGUGGGGAGCAAACAGG
Molecule: ribosomal RNA, 253 nt
Filed under: uncultured bacterium
Lineage: Bacteria
Description: partial 16S ribosomal RNA
Rfam family: Bacterial small subunit ribosomal RNA
Source: RNAcentral